Chlorocebus sabaeus (green monkey) is the source of this 1237-nucleotide non-coding RNA. The record is from RefSeq and is a predicted model, not a curated record. Lineage: Eukaryota; Metazoa; Chordata; Mammalia; Primates; Cercopithecidae.
GGUACGGUCCAUCCGCGGGGUUUCCGACCCCCGCCCGCAGCCGGCUCCCGGCGGUUCAAGUUUCUGCGCCCAGAGGACGCGGCCUUGGCCAAUCCCAGGGCUACAGGGCGCUUUUAAAAUGCAGCGCAUUUAUGGCGCGUCUACCGCCGGCAGGCGGGGUGGAGGGGUGUCCCUCCCCCGGAACCUGCAACGAGAUCAAACCCGCGCACGCGGCAGUGAGCGGCCCACUGCCAGGAGCGCGCGCCCGCGCAGCAGCUGAUGCCCCGUUUACAGUUGCUACGCCAUUCAUUCAGCUGUGUACUCAGCGCCUACUCGCCGCGGGGCCUGCUCCAGCCCCGGGGAAUUCUGCAGGGCACCGGACUGCCCUCUGCGAGGGACUUGGCGUCCUGGGAGCAGGAUGGGGAGAAGACAGACGAGCUAGAUCACAAUAAAACUUGUCUUAAGUGCUAUGCGGUGCAUUAAGUCGAGCUGCUGCCAUAGAAAGCAUAAUCAGUUACUUUAGAUCCAGCGGUCAGGAAGGUCGGGAGGCACAUCUAAGCUGAAGUCUGAUUGACAAGGUACAAAGAUAAGGGGAAGGGCAUUCCAGGUAGCUGGAACAGCCAGUACCAAGGCCCUAGGGCUGGCCUGUUAGGGGCCUGUUCCAAGGCCAGUGGGGCUGGGGGUUGGCCAGGGAAGAGGUGUGAAAGCUGAGGUCAGAGGUCAGAGAUUAGAGGGGCCAGAUCAUGUAUGAUUCCAAGGCAGCUGGGGAGGCAGUGGGGGUUUUAGCAGGGAAACAACAUGACCUCGUUUACCUUUUUAAGAGGCUCACCCUGACCCACAUGUGGAGAAGAGAUGGAGGGGAGUACACAGAGCGGUCCAGAUUCAAUAUCUCGUCUCCCACCCGUUUGCCACUCUCUCCAGACAGAUGGUCAGGAGAGGGUGGUGGGGAGAGGAUGGGCUGAGCACAGCUUCCAAGGUUAAACCCAGGGAUACUGAGGGUCUCCCAGGAUCUGCCCAAGUGAGCCAGCUCCUGAGGGGAGGGGAUAUCCUUCCCUCCGAGGCACUGCUCUGCUGGCCCAGCACAGCUCAGUUUGAGUUUAGAGAGGGAGGGGCUUUCAGCUUCUGCCUGGGGGAGCUGCAGGUCUGUCUUAACCCCCAGGAAGCCAGAUUAACUUCAAGGAGCUCCUUGCAGGCUCCCUGCAGAAUGAAGCCUGUGCAGAGUUGCUCCUGGGAGAUUGAAGUGUAAACGUUGGAUACA